UGAGGAAUAUUGGUCAAUGGACGGAAGUCUGAACCAGCCAAGUAGCGUGCAGGAUGACGGCCCUAUGGGUUGUAAACUGCUUUUGUAUGGGGAUAAAGUUAGGGACGUGUCCCUAUUUGCAGGUACCAUACGAAUAAGGACCGGCUAAUUCCGUGCCAGCAGCCGCGGUAAUACGGAAGGUCCAUGCGUUAUCCGGAGUUAUUGGGUUUAAAGGGAGCGUAGGCUGGAGAUUAAGUGUGUUGUGAAAUGUAGACGCUCAACGUCUGAAUUGCAGCGCAUACUGGUUUCCUUGAGUACGUACAACGUCGGCGGAAUUCGUCGUGUAGCGGUGAAAUGCUUAGAUAUGACGAAGAACUCCGAUUGCGAAGGCAGCUGACGGGAGCGCAACUGACGCUUAAGCUCGAAGGUGCGGGUAUCAAACAGG
RNAcentral lists this ribosomal RNA (424 nucleotides) under Verrucomicrobiota bacterium. RNAcentral's name for it is "Verrucomicrobia bacterium partial 16S ribosomal RNA". It matches the Rfam family "Bacterial small subunit ribosomal RNA", at positions 355 to 776 of the family's 1533-position model. Lineage: Bacteria; Pseudomonadati; Verrucomicrobiota. The record is from RNAcentral.